CAGCCGCCACGGUAAUACGGAGGGAGCUAGCGUUGUUCGGAAUUACUGGGCGUAAAGCGCGCGUAGGCGGCUUUGUAAGUCAGAGGUGAAAGCCUGGAGCUCAACUCCAGAACUGCCUUUGAGACUGCAUCGCUCGAAUCCGGGAGAGGUGAGUGGAAUUCCGAGUGUAGAGGUGAAAUUCGUAGAUAUUCGGAAGAACACCAGUGGCGAAGGCGGCUCACUGGACCGGUAUUGACGCUGAGGUGCGAAAGCGUGGGGAGCAAACAGGAUUAGAUACCCGCGUAGUCCCUGUCUCUUAUAC
RNAcentral lists this ribosomal RNA (301 nucleotides) under uncultured bacterium. RNAcentral's name for it is "partial 16S ribosomal RNA". It matches the Rfam family "Bacterial small subunit ribosomal RNA", at positions 509 to 807 of the family's 1533-position model. The record is from RNAcentral.